GUGAGGGGCGAGGGGGGCUUGCUCUCUGGCGCCCUCUAAUGGCAACUCGAACAAUGUUUACUUUCGUAAUUCAGUCCGGGGGAAGGCAGCUGGGUUUUUGUUGUUGCUGGAUUUUUUUUCCCCCUUCUCAGACUUUAAAAAACAACAACAAAAAAAACGAACUAGAGACUCUCAGCAAAUUGACUGUUUUCAACGUAUGAACUUAUGCAUGUGCCUUCAAAUCCUCCAUGUUUUCUCCCCGAACAUCCCUUCCUCUCCCAGAGUCUUGUUAGACUGAGGAGAGCUUCCUUCCCCGCAAAUUGAUUUAUGAAGGGUGGUCCACGCCCAGUUAGGAAUUCGGGCCCAGAGCUUCGUUUCCUACCUGAACAGCAUUCCGACUCUCGGAAUACACUCGAGAGGUGCGAGGAGGUGGAGUGGGAAGAGAUGAUUUGGAAAUUGCAGAUUCUGACACAGGCUCAUUAGAAUACAAUUUAAAGGGGGCUCUCAGGACCCUGUGCGGCUGCGACAUGUGGUGGUCAGGGGGGUUUCCUUCCCGCCUCCUUUUUCUUUUUCUUUUUUUCUUUCUCUUCUUUCUUUUCCUCAUUUUUUUUCUUUUUUAAAAAUUUGGUAGAUAAAGGUUAAUCUUGGGCUGAAUGGUAGAGCUCUGAUUGACAGGAGAAAAGGUGUCGAGGGCAGGUCGCGCUGUCUUAUUUACAGCCCACUGCUUGCUCAGAGUCUUUGUUAGGACUGGAAAGCUAAUUUAGUGCUGAUCAAAAGCACCACAGAGUUAAAGGACUGGUAAUGACUGCUAAUUUCAUUUCAGCCUCAUGCAAGCCCAACUGCUGUAAUUAAAGACACGCUAUUUAAAUACAGGUGCUUCUUGUCAUUUAUACCUGGCUUGGCAGAACUGGCAGUAUGAAAUGUGUCAGUCACACACACACACAAAGACCCUCCUAAGGAGGUAGGGGAGAAGGAUGCAGAGGAGAAACUAUUUAGGAGGCAUUUAAAUAUUUGGGUCUCUCUUUUUCCCCCUUGGAUUUAAUGGAAGGGCCUUCAAUAUAGCUAAAAGUAUUUGAAACUUGGGGCAGGGUGAACAGGCCAGAGAGAUCAGUGUCAGCUUUUAAAGUACUCUAAAAAAGAUCAUGUGAACAGACAGGAAAAUAUAUUUUAAUUAAAUAAUUUCCCCCACACUAGAGCUGCAGUAUUGGCUCAGAAACCUUGUAAUUUCUCAACUGAUAGGAGUUUCUUUAUGAGAACAUCAAAGGAUAAAAAGCUCUACAUUUUCGUAGUUGGUUAAAAUUGAUAACCACCCCCCAUACACACACGCACAUGCACACACACAACCCCCAAAAAGAAUUUAGCCUUUAAUCUCUUUUUAUCCACGAAGACUAAAGCUCUGUACUCGACCCCUUGAGCGUUUCUCGCCUUCCGGGGCUGGAACCCAGCUCAGAUGUGAAGCGGCGCUGAGCCGCCGCGCAGGUUCGUGCCCAGCGCCCCCUGUUGGACACAGUAGGCGCUGCGCAGCGCCAGUCCUGGAAAUCGCUAGAACCUGGCUCUGGGGUUACAGAAAACUCUUUAUUACCCUCCAGAAAGGAAAUAGGGCGCGGAAACAAGUUUUUAUAUCCUUAAAAGAUAUUUUAAUUCAAUAAACACUAAAAAGGAGAUAAUACACUUUUAAUGCAAUAAAAAUAAAAGACUCAUUCCUCCUGCUCUGCUCCCAGCCAGCCCC
Molecule: long non-coding RNA, 1708 nt
Filed under: Heterocephalus glaber (naked mole-rat)
Lineage: Eukaryota; Metazoa; Chordata; Mammalia; Rodentia; Bathyergidae
Description: lncRNA (ENSHGLG00000041759.1)
Source: RNAcentral